UGUGGCCCCAGAAGUCUUGUCCGCCAGGUGGAGGCGGGGGCACAGGGGUGUGGGCUCUGAUUGGUCCAGGCCUGCGUCAAUCACUGUGGUCUGGCGGGUACACGAACCGAGAUUGGCCACUCUCGGGUCGCAGGGCAGCCUUGCGCCAGGAAGGAACCUCUAGGAUGAAUGAAGCGGGUGAGUUUGGGGCGCCGCUGCCUGCGGCGCGGGGCGCGCUCUUCGGGACGGGGACGCCGGAGAUGGCCUCCGCAGAGCCGAGACCGUGACGCGGAGCAAGGAAUCUGCUUCCUGCUGUCAGGGAGAGGGGGCUUCUGAGAAGAAAGGGAAGAGAGACGAGAGGGGCUCGGGGCUUCUGAGAAGAAAGGGAAGAGAGACGAGAGGGGCUCGGGGCCUCUGCAAGUGUCCAAGUUGCCACUGUCCAGGCUGGGCUCGAACUGGCAGUCCUCUAGCCCCAGCCUCCCAGAGCGCCAAGCUGGUUCUGCGUGUUCGGGGGCGGGCGAAGGAGCAGGCCCGCCUGCCUACGCCCUGUAGACCUCGGAGCAGGAGCCAGAGCGGAGCCGGGCCUCCCAGAAUUCGAAGAUCACAAGGAAGCAGCAUCAAGCCCGUCUGGAACCCCAGCACUCAGGAGGCUGAGGCAGGAGGAUCCCAAAUUGAAGCCCAGCCUGGGCAAUUCAGCGACUUAAUGAGACCUUGUUUCAAAUUUGAAAAAAAAAGCGCUGGAUAUGUAGCUCAGUGCAAAGGCCCUGGGUUCAGUUUCCAGGAACAAAACAAAAACCCAAAAGCAAAUCCUAAAUUUUUACAGACCCAGACACAAAAAGCCUGUAAAUUGGGCCCGGGCUUUGUAGGAAGGGAUGAAUGUUGUCUGUAAAUUGAACCCCACAGACUCCACCCCAGCAACCCAGUUUUAGGUCACAAGGUCUCCCCCUUCUCCAGGGCCCCUCUCUUCUCUCUGAAUGUGUACUUUAAAUUCUGCCUAAUACAACUCUUUAUGCCUCUCACGUGCCUUUUUGUUGUUUAUAUUUUUUACUUUUUGAGAUGGUCUCACUAUGUGGUUCAGGCUGGCCUUGAACUCACCCACCGUGAAGCCCUCACUGGCCUGGAACUCGAAGUGAUCCUCCUGCCUCAGCCUCCAGAGCGCUGGGAUUACAGGCUGUGCACCUGGCUGUCUCUCACUCUAGCGUCUUGAUGGAUUUUUUUUUCCUGUGAUGGAAGUUAGCGAACCACAACAUGCCCCAUGGUGGGGUGGGUUGAGGUCCCCCUCGGGUUUCGGGGACCCCCUUGGACGCUGCCUGGUGACGAUACCUACAUUGCUGGAAUAUCGACCGCGACCCUGAUGCCCUCACCAGGCUGAGGGGCGAGGGGCAGCAGGGUUUGGGGACCGAGGCCCCGUCCUCCCUGCUCCGCUGCCCCUCGGGGCCCUGGAGGCUGCACAGCCCGACUCUCCGCCCUCACAGGCAGCCAGGCGGCUCCCGGCGGAAUUAGCAAGGCCUGACCUAAAUACAGCACAACCCGGAGCCCAGCAGCGCGGGAGCCAGCCGUGUGGGGACCCACACCAUGAG
Molecule: long non-coding RNA, 1559 nt
Filed under: Heterocephalus glaber (naked mole-rat)
Lineage: Eukaryota; Metazoa; Chordata; Mammalia; Rodentia; Bathyergidae
Description: lncRNA (ENSHGLG00000034721.1)
Source: RNAcentral